AAUAUAAUUGCGUUUGUCGAAAAUGCUCUUUGAAUCGAAACGCUUCUCGGAUGCCCUCCGCCACUUAGUUUUGUCUUAUGUUCCGAAAAUUUCUACUCGCCCAUCAUCCAUUCUAUCAUCGUAUACUAAGGAACUAAAAGACUUAGAGUGUACUAGUCUGGACAUCUGACAAACAUGACUGGAGCGCGAGGCGAUGGGACAGCGAUGGAAAUGAUAGAAUAAUUUUUAUCAAUAAUAAUCAAUCCG
Molecule: non-coding RNA, 246 nt
Organism: Cinara cedri
Lineage: Eukaryota; Metazoa; Arthropoda; Insecta; Hemiptera; Aphididae
Source: the annotation of a GenBank genome assembly